Molecule: small nucleolar RNA, 136 nt
Filed under: Castor canadensis (American beaver)
Lineage: Eukaryota; Metazoa; Chordata; Mammalia; Rodentia; Castoridae
Description: Small nucleolar RNA SNORA42/SNORA80 family (ENSCCNG00000008941.1)
Rfam family: Small nucleolar RNA SNORA42/SNORA80 family
About the family: The members of this family belong to the H/ACA class of snoRNAs that guide the sites of modification of uridines to pseudouridines. Human ACA42 (SNORA42) was cloned from HeLa cells by immunoprecipitation with anti-GAR1 antibody. Its is predicted to guide the pseudouridylation of residues U109 and U572 of 18S rRNA.
Source: Rfam by way of RNAcentral
AAAAUGACCAACACAUAAGGCAGGCCUGUCCCCCUAGGCCUCUCAGAGUGUCUUAUACCAGAGCAAAAUGUGGCCCUGAAUCAUUGCCUGGCCUCUGUGUCCAUAGGCUGCUGGCACUGAAGUGGGUUGUACAGUG